RNAcentral lists this ribosomal RNA (534 nucleotides) under uncultured bacterium. RNAcentral describes it as "bacterial SSU rRNA". It matches the Rfam family "Bacterial small subunit ribosomal RNA", at positions 844 to 1378 of the family's 1533-position model. The record is from RNAcentral.
UGCCGUAGCUAACGCAUUAAGUACCCCGCCUGGGGAGUACGGCCGCAAGGCUAAAACUCAAAGAAAUUGACGGGGGCCCGCACAAGCGGCGGAGCAUGUGGAUUAAUUCGAUGCAACGCGAAGAACCUUACCUGGGUUUGACAUGCACAGGACGCCGGCAGAGAUGUCGGUUCCCUUGUGGCCUGUGUGCAGGUGGUGCAUGGCUGUCGUCAGCUCGUGUCGUGAGAUGUUGGGUUAAGUCCCGCAACGAGCGCAACCCUUGUCUCAUGUUGCCAGCGGGUAAUGCCGGGGACUCGUGAGAGACUGCCGGGGUCAACUCGGAGGAAGGUGGGGAUGACGUCAAGUCAUCAUGCCCCUUAUGUCCAGGGCUUCACACAUGCUACAAUGGCCGGUACAAAGGGCUGCGAUGCCGCGAGGUUAAGCGAAUCCUUUUAAAGCCGGUUUCAGUUCGGAUCGGGGUCUGCAACUCGACCCCGUGAAGUCGGAGUCGCUAGUAAUCGCAGAUCAGCAACGCUGCGGUGAUACGUUCCCGGG